Molecule: ribosomal RNA, 513 nt
Filed under: Candida albicans
Lineage: Eukaryota; Fungi; Ascomycota; Pichiomycetes; Serinales; Debaryomycetaceae
Description: eukaryotic LSU rRNA
Rfam family: 5.8S ribosomal RNA (bases 140-293)
Source: RNAcentral
ACAGAAUUGCUUAUUGCACCACAUGUGUUUUUCUUUGAAACAAACUUGCUUUGGCGGUGGGCCCAGCCUGCCGCCAGAGGUCUAAACUUACAACCAAUUUUUUAUCAACUUGUCACACCAGAUUAUUACUAAUAGUCAAAACUUUCAACAACGGAUCUCUUGGUUCUCGCAUCGAUGAAGAACGCAGCGAAAUGCGAUACGUAAUAUGAAUUGCAGAUAUUCGUGAAUCAUCGAAUCUUUGAACGCACAUUGCGCCCUCUGGUAUUCCGGAGGGCAUGCCUGUUUGAGCGUCGUUUCUCCCUCAAACCGCUGGGUUUGGUGUUGAGCAAUACGACUUGGGUUUGCUUGAAAGACGGUAGUGGUAAGGCGGGAUCGCUUUGACAAUGGCUUAGGUCUAACCAAAAACAUUGCUUGCGGCGGUAACGUCCACCACGUAUAUCUUCAAACUUUGACCUCAAAUCAGGUAGGACUACCCGCUGAACUUAAGCAUAUCAAUAAGCGGGAGGAAAGGAU